This 253-nucleotide ribosomal RNA is filed under the name uncultured bacterium. RNAcentral's name for it is "partial 16S ribosomal RNA". It matches the Rfam family "Bacterial small subunit ribosomal RNA", at positions 524 to 776 of the family's 1533-position model. The record is from RNAcentral.
UACGAAGGGGGCGAGCGUUGUUCGGAUUUACUGGGCGUAAAGGGCGCGCAGGCGGUCAUUUUUGUCGAGUGUGAAAGCCCCGGGCUUAACCUGGGAACUGCGCUCGAAACGGGAUGACUAGAGAUCGGGAGAGGAGAAUGGAAUUCCCGGUGUAGCGGUGAAAUGCGCAGAUAUCGGGAAGAACACCCGUGGCGAAGGCGGUUCUCUGGGACGGUACUGACGCUGAGACGCGAAAGCGUGGGGAGCGAACAGG